Molecule: ribosomal RNA, 465 nt
Filed under: uncultured bacterium
Lineage: Bacteria
Description: partial 16S ribosomal RNA
Rfam family: Bacterial small subunit ribosomal RNA
Source: RNAcentral
GACGAACGCUGGCGGCGUGCUUAACACAUGCAAGUCGAACGGAAAGGCCCCUUUGGGGGUACUCGAGUGGCGAUCGGGUGAGUAACACGUGAGUAACCUGCCCUUGACUUCGGGAUAACUUCAGGAAACUGGGGCUAAUACCGGAUAGGAAUCCUUGCUGCAUGGUGGGGGUUGGAAAGCUUCGGCGGUUUUGGAUGGACUCGCGGCUUAUCAGCUUGUUGGUGGGGUAGUGGCUUACCAAGGCUUUGACGGGUAGCCGGCCUGAGAGGGCGACCGGCCACAUUGGGACUGAGAUACGGCCCAGACGCCUACGGGAGGCAGCAGUGGGGAAUAUUGCACAAUGGGCGGAAGCCUGAUGCAGCAACGCCGCGUGCGGGAUGACGGCCUUCGGGUUGUAAACCGCUUUCAGCAGGGGCGAAGCUUGUGGUGACGGUACCUGCAGAAGAAGCACCGGCUAACUACGUG